UUCUCCUUCCUUCUACUUUCUCUAUGCCUUACAUGGAUACUGAAAAUUAGGGUUCUUCUCGAUCGUCAAGCCCUGAAUCUUACACUGAUUCUUCUAUUAUCCAAUUGGAAGUUAGGAGCUCAGCUGAAAUGGAGAUAGAAGAAAGAGAUACAUUUGCUAAGCCAAAACCUUCAAAACGGUAGAGUUCAAACAGUGAAGUAAAGAGACUAACUAAGGUUAAAAUUGUUGGGAGUUAUGGUUAUAAAUCAUCUUGCGCAAGUGGGAAAGAAGGUAUAAGUUGCAAAAUGUAUACCCAUGACCCUUCAACAAGGUAUUAUUAUCAUCACAAUCAUUUAUUUUUAAUGUUUUUUCUAUUAUUGUUCCUUCCUAUUCCUUUUGUGCGGAUGGGAUAGAGUCGUUGAGAGGUGUGGUUUACCAAAAUUCUCUUUUUCUGCACUGCUGAUUAUGAUGAUAAGGCCUCAUCAGACAAAAGCAACGAUUCUGACCAAGUAUGUGACUUUAAGCUGUGUAUAUCUUCAUAUAUGCAAGUAACUAUGUUGCUCAGACUCUUCAUGUUUUCUUUUUUAUGAUUUGACAUUCGCAUUGCACUUGGUUAAUGAAACAAUAAAUGAGUCAAGCUUGUGAGACUUGUGAAAUGUGUGGUUUUUCUAAUACAGUCAAAGCUGCUGCUUUUUUCAGGGUCUUUUAGCACCGAAGAACCUAAUAUUGAAACAGAAAAGUGGAGAUGGCCAUUAAAUGGAGGAAGAUUCUGCAGCAGACAUGUUUAACACAGCAUCUAGAACUACAGAGGAUGAUUCUGAACUCAGAAAGCAACAGAGGAGGCAAAUAAAUCGCGAAUCAGCUAAAAGGUCAAGGUAUCGCGAGAAAAUAUCCAUGUUGCAAGAACGUGAAAAACUAGAAGCAAAAAUAUAGGCACUGAAAGCUGAUAGCCAUGAACAUUGCAAGCAACUCAGGAAUCUUUCCGAUAAAUGUGUUCGAAUUGGUGACGAGAACCAACAAAUCAAGAUACACAACUUUCUCCUUCUUCUAACGAACCCCAUUUCUUUGUUUCCAUUAAAUGUAUGAUGAAAAAAACAUUUGACAUGGAAGAACCAUGGCCUCAACUUUGUGAAAUGAUGAAGCAUGAUGAACUCAUCCGGAUGUACGGACCAGGUAUUAUCAACGACCUUAAAGAUUCAUCCCC
Long non-coding RNA from Hibiscus syriacus, 1183 nucleotides. RefSeq lists it as uncharacterized. The record is from RefSeq and is a predicted model, not a curated record. Lineage: Eukaryota; Viridiplantae; Streptophyta; Magnoliopsida; Malvales; Malvaceae. The transcript has 5 exons.